AUCGCUUCUCGGCCUUUUGGCUAAGAUCAUGUGUAGUAUCUGUUCUUGUCAGCUUAAUAUCUGGCAUGCUGGGCAUUGCCUGGCACCAAUAUUAAACUGAUUUUUGAAUCACGGAUUCGGCAAGGAAGCUUGCUUCAGCCGAUCCACGGAUUGUCCCGGUCUUACACUACCGCCGGGUACGGUCCAUCCCAA
Molecule: small nuclear RNA, 192 nt
Organism: Symsagittifera roscoffensis
Lineage: Eukaryota; Metazoa; Xenacoelomorpha; Acoela; Convolutidae
Product: U2 spliceosomal RNA
Exons: 1
Source: RefSeq, a predicted model, not a curated record